CCCUUAGAUGUUCUGGGCCGCACGCGCGCUACACUGACGAAUGCAACGAGCUUAUAACCUUGGCCGAAAGGUCUGGGUAAUCUCCAAAUUUCGUCGUGAUGGGAAUAGAUUAUUGCAAUUAUUAAUCUUCAACGAGGAAUGCCUAGUAAGCGCAAGUCAUCAGCUUGCGUUGAUUACGUCCCUGCCCUUUGUACACACCGCCCGUCGCUCCUACCGAUUGAAUGGUCCGGUGAAGCGUUCGGACCGUGGCCUUUGGACGGUUCGCCGUCUGUUGGCUGCGGGAAGUUCGUUAAACCUUAUCAUUUAGAGGAAGGAGAAGUCGUAACA
RNAcentral lists this ribosomal RNA (327 nucleotides) under uncultured eukaryote. RNAcentral describes it as "partial 18S ribosomal RNA". It matches the Rfam family "Eukaryotic small subunit ribosomal RNA", at positions 1470 to 1796 of the family's 1831-position model. The record is from RNAcentral.